GACGAACGCUGGCGGCGUGCCUAAUACAUGCAAGUAGAACGCACAGUUUAUACCGUAGCUUGCUACACCAUAGACUGUGAGUUGCGAACGGGUGAGUAACGCGUAGGUAACCUGCCUGGUAGCGGGGGAUAACUAUUGGAAACGAUAGCUAAUACCGCAUAAUAUUAAUUAUUGCAUGAUAAUUAAUUGAACGGUGCAAUUGCACCACUACCAGAUGGACCUGCGUUGUAUUAGCUAGUAGGUGAGGUAACGGCUCACCUAGGCGACGAUACAUAGCCGACCUGGGAGGGAGAUCGGCCACACUGGGACUGAGACACGGCCCAGACUCCUACGGGAGGCAGCAGUAGGGAAUCUUCGGCAAUGGACGAAAGUCUGACCGAGCAACGCCGCGGGAGGGAAGAAGGUUUUCGGAUCGUAAAGCUCUGUUGUAAGAGAAGAACGGGUGUGAGAGUGGAAAGUUCACACUGUGACGGUAUCUUACCAGAAAGGGACGGCUAACUACGUG
Molecule: ribosomal RNA, 505 nt
Filed under: uncultured bacterium
Lineage: Bacteria
Description: partial 16S ribosomal RNA
Rfam family: Bacterial small subunit ribosomal RNA
Source: RNAcentral